AGCGCGCCGGGUGGGCCUCCGGGCUUUCACAUACCCCCGUGUGACCUCGGUCACGUUAAAUGGAGCGAGGGGUCAUCCCCCGCCCCGCGGUUGAGACGAUCGAGUCGGGUCUCGGCCGCGUAUGCCCCCACCGAACAUGCAUAAACACAUGGGGCAGGCCCUCGGCCGGACGUAUAUCGAUAACUCACAAAUACACUCAGUUUAUUACAACUGGUAGCGUUGGAUCCCUCGGCAUGGCUAUCGAUGAAGAGCGCGGCCAGCUGCGAAAUGUGAUGUGAAUUGCAACUCAAAGCGGUUAUCGUGAAUCAUUGACUACUUGAACGCAUUGCACCGCCCUUUUGGGAGUGGUACGCCCGAUUGAGUGUCAUAAUCUCCUUCAGGCCCCAUGGUCUCGACCGUUCGCUCGGUGACCGCACGUCCGUGGCAAGCCGUCUGUNUCUGCACAGGUGACGGAAGCGGGCGCGUGGGGGAUCGUGGGGCGCUGGNUCCGAGGCUGCACGGCCGUCAGGUCGCGUGCCUUCAGAUGCAUUAGUGGUCGAUCGGCGUCGCAAGUUUGACUCCACGUGAUGAACUCUUGUUCGUGGAGGAGCGCCCCGCGCGCUUGCACGUCCGGUNUCCGCUGCCAACCCGCCCUCGGGCAGAACGUCGCCUCGCGCGAUGGACCUUGACAUUGGCCUCAGUCGGGUGGGAUUACCCGCUUGAUUU
This 705-nucleotide ribosomal RNA is filed under the name Tulasnella sp. DC262. Its description in RNAcentral is "eukaryotic LSU rRNA". The stretch from base 209 to 367 matches the Rfam family "5.8S ribosomal RNA". Lineage: Eukaryota; Fungi; Basidiomycota; Agaricomycetes; Cantharellales; Tulasnellaceae. The record is from RNAcentral.